Molecule: transfer RNA, 58 nt
Filed under: Arabidopsis suecica
Lineage: Eukaryota; Viridiplantae; Streptophyta; Magnoliopsida; Brassicales; Brassicaceae
Also listed under: 1 other name
Description: tRNA-OTHER
Rfam family: tRNA
About the family: Transfer RNA (tRNA) molecules are approximately 80 nucleotides in length. Their secondary structure includes four short double-helical elements and three loops (D, anti-codon, and T loops).
Source: RNAcentral
UAACUCAGUGGUUAGAGUAUUGCUUUCAUAGGGCACUAGUGAUUGGUUCGACUCCAAU